RNAcentral lists this ribosomal RNA (301 nucleotides) under uncultured bacterium. Its description in RNAcentral is "partial 16S ribosomal RNA". It matches the Rfam family "Bacterial small subunit ribosomal RNA", at positions 509 to 807 of the family's 1533-position model. The record is from RNAcentral.
CAGCAGCCACGGGAAUACGGAGGGUGCAAGCGUUAAUCGGAAUUACUGGGCGUAAAGCGCACGCAGGCGGUCUGUCAAGUCAGAUGUGAAAUCCCCGGGCUUAACCUGGGAACUGCAUUUGAAACUGGUAGGCUAGAGUCUUGUAGAGGGGGGUAGAAUUCCAGGUGUAGCGGUGAAAUGCGUAGAGAUCUGGAGGAAUACCGGUGGCGAAGGCGGCCCCCUGGACAAAGACUGACGCUCAGGUGCGAAAGCGUGGGGAGCAAACAGGAUUAGAUACCCCAGUAGUCCCUGUCUCUUAUAC